ACGGAGGAUGCGAGCGUUAUCCGGAUUUAUUAGGUAUAAAGGGUGCGUAGGCGGAUUUGUAAGUCAGCGGUGAAAUACUAUGGCUUAACUGUAGAAAUGCCGUUGAUACUGCAAGUCUUGAGUACAAUUGAGGUAGGCGGAAUGUGUGGUGUAGCGGUGAAAUGCUUAGAUAUCACACAGAACACCGAUUGCGAAGGCAGCUUACUAAACUGUAACUGACGCUGAUGCACGAAAGCAUGGGGAGCAAACAG
RNAcentral lists this ribosomal RNA (251 nucleotides) under uncultured prokaryote. Its description in RNAcentral is "partial 16S rRNA". It matches the Rfam family "Bacterial small subunit ribosomal RNA", at positions 525 to 775 of the family's 1533-position model. The record is from RNAcentral.